CCAGAGUAGAGCGACAAACAGUCCUAGUGCAAGACAAUGACGGCACUGUGUAACGCUGCCUGUCCUCAGUGCUGCUAUGAAAAGCAUCUCAAUUCAUUUGGAGAGCUAUUUUCUGUCUUUCUGCUCUGACACAAAGAGCUAAAGUGCUUAAAUACAAUGUGACACUGCACUGAGAGCAUUUGUGCAUGUGCACUACUGUGCAAUGGGAUUUCUUCCUGUGCCUGGGCUCUGCAAAGGGCAGAGAGUUUAGAUGUUAGCAUGAAAGCAUGUUUAUUUAUGAAAGCCUUAUGUAAAUGCACAUAAAGACUAAUGAGAUGUUUUUGUGUGUUUCGUGGAAAGAAAACAUGAAUGAGUUUGCACGUUUAUGUUUGCAGAGGCUGAGUGACAGUGAUGGAGUUUGAAAAUGGAUUUCUAUGCGUCUGUUUGCUAUUGUUUCUGAGCACUGAGGAGGUAUUAAUGGAUACAGUACUGGAUGCUGACACGCUGAACAAACAGCUUGAUUGUUUGAGGUUCAGAGGCAGAGUGGCUUAGAGAGAAAUAAAGGAAGUCAAAGUAAGCUGGGAGAAUAUUAGCAAUGUUUGUUGUUAGUUGAGGGAAUUUAUCUGACUGAAGCUAAAUGUAAUUGGUAUCUCUUCCCCUUCCGCUUGUCUCUUAUCACUGUUCUGAUGCAGUUAAUUCUACUACAGGGCCGGAUCGGCAACAUUAGAUAAUCUCAACCACCCAGAGAAACGCGAUCCUCUGCGAGAGAGAGGCAGACGGGCCAUCAGAAAUAAGAAGACACUAUGGCCUGCUCGUUUGGAAACAUCAGUAAGGAGGACUGAUGACGAGUGGGGGAGGAGCAGCAGUCAGAUGCCGACCUGCUGCUGUUUAAACAGUGUGAUCAAGAACCCCCUGGACGGCACACGAUCACAGAGCGUUGCAUCUUUUGGGUUUUAUGACAGAGGUGAUCAGAAAACCUCACAAACUCAUUGUGCUAAUCAAAGACACUGAAUGCAUUUUAAACAGUAAAUGAUACAUUACUCUAUGUCUUAAACUAUUAUUAUUAUUUCUAUAUACAGUAAACUACUUAAAAUGAUCUUUAACAUGAGGUCAGAACAUGAACAUAGCAGCUGACGAUGAUGGAAAACGCGUCAUUCUCAGCUGCCCUGGUGACUUUUCGUGGGCUCAGGGACCUCUUUAGCUCUUAAACAGC
Molecule: long non-coding RNA, 1192 nt
Filed under: Betta splendens (Siamese fighting fish)
Lineage: Eukaryota; Metazoa; Chordata; Actinopteri; Anabantiformes; Osphronemidae
Description: lncRNA (ENSBSLG00000020565.1)
Source: RNAcentral